RNAcentral lists this non-coding RNA (39 nucleotides) under Alexandrium minutum. Lineage: Eukaryota; Dinophyceae; Gonyaulacales; Pyrocystaceae. The record is from RNAcentral.
UUUUUUUUUUUUUUUUUUUUUUUUUUUUUUUUUUUUGUU